Physeter macrocephalus (sperm whale) is the source of this 215-nucleotide long non-coding RNA. RefSeq lists it as uncharacterized. The transcript is spliced from 4 exons. NCBI's taxonomy places the organism in Eukaryota, Metazoa, Chordata, Mammalia, Artiodactyla, Physeteridae. The record is from RefSeq and is a predicted model, not a curated record.
GUACACGAGAUCCUGAAGCGCACCAGCUGCUCUCGAGCCAGCAGCAUGAUGGGUAUUAAUUCUCUGAUAGCAAAUAACAUCUACGAGGCUGCCUACCCGCUGCACGACGGUGAAUGUGAUGGUCCAGGGGAUGACGUGAAUGACAGAAAGCUGCUGUAUCAAGAAUGGGCACGCUAUGGGGUGUUUUAUAAGUUUCAACCUAUUGACCUCAUCAG